RNAcentral lists this ribosomal RNA (617 nucleotides) under uncultured bacterium. RNAcentral's name for it is "bacterial SSU rRNA". It matches the Rfam family "Bacterial small subunit ribosomal RNA", at positions 338 to 947 of the family's 1533-position model. The record is from RNAcentral.
CCUACGGGAGGCAGCAGUGGGGAAUUUUGGACAAUGGGGGCAACCCUGAUCCAGCCAUGCCGCGUGAGUGAAGAAGGCCUUCGGGUUGUAAAGCUCUUUCGGCCGGAACGAAAUCGCGCACGUGAAUAACGUGCGUGGAUGACGGUACCGGAGUAAGAAGCACCGGCUAACUACGUGCCAGCAGCCGCGGUAAUACGUAGGGUGCGAGCGUUAAUCGGAAUUACUGGGCGUAAAGCGUGCGCAGGCGGUUCGCUAAGUCAGACGUGAAAGCCCCGGGCUUAACCUGGGAACGGCGUUUGAAACUGGCGGGCUCGAGUACGGCAGAGGGGGGUGGAAUUCCACGUGUAGCAGUGAAAUGCGUAGAUAUGUGGAGGAACACCGAUGGCGAAGGCAGCCCCCUGGGCCGAUACUGACGCUCAUGCACGAAAGCGUGGGGAGCAAACAGGAUUAGAUACCCUGGUAGUCCACGCCCUAAACUAUGUCAACUAGUUGUCGGGGAAGCAAUUCCUUGGUAACGCAGCUAACGCGUGAAGUUGACCGCCUGGGGAUCGGUCGCAAGAUUAAAACUCAAAUGAAUUGACGGCUGAGACGCGACGACGACACGAGGGAGGUAGGAG